This 1218-nucleotide long non-coding RNA is filed under the name Medicago truncatula (barrel medic). RNAcentral's name for it is "long non-coding RNA (MTRU_LNC004647)". The record is from RNAcentral. Lineage: Eukaryota; Viridiplantae; Streptophyta; Magnoliopsida; Fabales; Fabaceae.
UUCAUUCAAGUCUGUUUUGAGGUUGUUUCAAUAUUUGAAUGCAACACCAACCUGAUAUGUUAUCUCUUUGGUGUAAUGGUAGGAAUCAAUUUCUUUUUAUUACUAUUUAUGCCUUUUGAGUUUUUGAAAAAAUCAUUACAUAAUAAAAAUUUGACUGUUCAGAAUUUAAAUAUGACAAUUAGUUUUCAAAGCUUGCUGGAAUUUGAUUUGGUUAUUUUAAAAUAUUUGAUUGAAAUUCUAAUUGUUGUUUUGUUUCAUUGUUCUUGAGAAUGUAAUUUUCCCAUUUCACAUUGGUGGUUGAUUUGAAGCUUUGAUUGGAAUCCAUCUACACUAUAUGAUACAACAAAGAUUUUAUUGUGACUUCAACUUUCAUAUUGCUAUUCUAAGAUAUACAAUAAUGAAUAGGUUUGUGGUUACAUCUCUAUCGUUCUAUUUUGAAUUCCCAUUUUAAAAAUUUCCUUUGCUUUAUGUUGUUCUAUUCAUCUUUCAUAUGUAAGCCUCUUGGUGGUUAGUAGAGGAAUAUUGCAUCGACAAAGAUUUUCAUGACUAUUUCUACGCCUUUCAUUGCAUUGUUGUGGUUUGGGCAAGAGUUUUCGCUGCUGCAGUUUCUAUGUCUGCUUUGUGUGCAUAUAGUGCAUCUACCAUUGUUUGUACUACGAAUGGUGUUGGAACCCGAACGAUUGUCUGUUGAGAAAAUAGUGGUAGUUUUGGUGGACUUUUUCGAAGUGGUUUCUGUCCUUUGCGGUGUGCCCUCGAGGGGCAGCAGGUUUGUUUUGGUGCCUCAAGGUUGGCUGCGUGAGGUUGCUGGUUUUUAGGUAGCAGGUUUAUGGUUACUGUCAUUAGGAACCGUAGUGUUGUUUGUGCUUUUGGGUGCUGCACUUUUGUUUUAUGUCUAGCCUUUGUCCUUUGUUUUUCUUUUCGUGAAUCAUGAGGCAGGGGUAUGCGUUUGUGUUGUGUUUUAUAGGUCUAGAUGAUGUUUUUUUAGCUCACUGGUGUCCUAUUUAAUGUAUACCUUAGCCUCAUUUUUUUGUGUGGAAAGAUGUAGUUCUUUAGGGGGCACCUCUUUUUGGUUAUUUAAAGGUCUUUGGUGUUUUUUUUUUUUGUUGUUGUUAAGGUGAUCCGUAUAUAUACGGUGCCGAGUUUGUAUUCGUUUUUCUUGGUUUUACCGCGGGUUAGUGUGUCUUACACAAGCCUGUCGAGAAUAAUAUUUGCUGAUUC